GAAAUGCGAUAAGUAAUGUGAAUUGCAGAAUUCAGUGAAUCAUCGAAUCUUUGAACGCACAUUGCGCCCGCCAGCACUCUGGCGGGCAUGCCUGUUCGAGCGUCAUUUCAACCCUCAGAACCCCUUGCGGGAUCUGGCGUUGGGGAUUGGCAUCCAGCCAGCCCCGAAAUCUAGUGGCGGUCCCUCCGCGACCUCCCCUGUGCAGUAGUGAUACCUCGCAGCGGGACAGCGGUCUGACCACGCCGUAAAACCCCCAACUUCUCAAGGUUGACCUCGAAUCAGGUAGGACUACCCGCUGAACUUAAGC
This 307-nucleotide unclassified non-coding RNA is filed under the name plant metagenome. RNAcentral's name for it is "partial contains 5.8S ribosomal RNA, internal transcribed spacer 2, and large subunit ribosomal RNA". The stretch from base 1 to 105 matches the Rfam family "5.8S ribosomal RNA", at positions 50 to 154 of the family's 154-position model. The record is from RNAcentral.